RNAcentral lists this non-coding RNA (31 nucleotides) under Mus musculus (house mouse). Lineage: Eukaryota; Metazoa; Chordata; Mammalia; Rodentia; Muridae. The record is from RNAcentral.
UGAUAUGUUUUAGGGAGUGGUUCCUUUGCCC